UACGGGAGGCAGCAGUGGGGAAUAUUGCACAAUGGAGGAAACUCUGAUGCAGCGACGCCGCGUGAAGGAUGAAGUAUUUCGGUAUGUAAACUUCUAUCAGCAGGGAAGAAAAUGACGGUACCUGACUAAGAAGCCCCGGCUAACUACGUGCCAGCAGCCGCGGUAAUACGUAGGGGGCAAGCGUUAUCCGGAUUUACUGGGUGUAAAGGGAGCGUAGACGGCACGGCAAGCCAGAUGUGAAAGCCCGGGGCUCAACCCCGGGACUGCAUUUGGAACUGCUGAGCUAGAGUGUCGGAGAGGCAAGUGGAAUUCCUAGUGUAGCGGUGAAAUGCGUAGAUAUUAGGAGGAACACCAGUGGCGAAGGCGGCUUGCUGGACGAUGACUGACGUUGAGGCUCGAAAGCGUGGGGAGCAAACAGGAUUAGAUACCCUGGUAGUCCACGCCGUAAACGAUGACUGCUAGGUGUCGGGUGGCAAAGCCAUUCGGUGCCGCAGCUAACGCAAUAAGCAGUCCACCUGGGGAGUACGUUCGCAAGAAUGAAACUCAAAGGAAUUGACGG
This 559-nucleotide ribosomal RNA is filed under the name uncultured bacterium. RNAcentral describes it as "bacterial SSU rRNA". It matches the Rfam family "Bacterial small subunit ribosomal RNA", at positions 340 to 916 of the family's 1533-position model. The record is from RNAcentral.